Long non-coding RNA from Drosophila mauritiana, 542 nucleotides. RefSeq lists it as uncharacterized. The transcript is spliced from 3 exons. Lineage: Eukaryota; Metazoa; Arthropoda; Insecta; Diptera; Drosophilidae. The record is from RefSeq and is a predicted model, not a curated record.
AGGCGACCGCAGAGUGCAGAGUCUUUUCCUGUGUUUUCGUUCGGGUUAUUCAAUGCUGGCAGCACAUGUUGUGGCGAAAUCUUUAAUCAAACAUCGUACGACUGUCUUCAAUCGGGAAGCGCACCUUGAUUAACCGAAAUUACCAUUGAAAUGCCCAGGAAAGCAACACAAAACAAAUUAAUUCGUAGAAAAAGUUUCGCAGAAUCGCUGCAGCCAAAAGAAGAACACAAAUCGCUUUUACGGAAUUACGGAAACUGUUGUAAGAAGAGGGUUUCGCUGCCCAGCGACGACAGAGGGACGGACCGCAGAUCCGACACCAGAUCAGCCGCCAGAUCGGUUCAGCUGGAUGAGAUGAAAUGGGAUGGGAUGAGAUGAGAUGGGACAUCGACAGCUACAGCUACAGCCACAACCAGAACCAGAACGACAACAGGUAACAGAAGCCGUAUACGCCAGAUUAACGCCCGAGGCGAGAUGGCUUCGACUUCGACUUUGACUUUGAUCUGCAGCGACUUUUGCACUUGCGCAAAAAAAAAAAAGCAAAU